UUGAGGGCCUUGAGCGGGAGAAAGGGCUGCCAAAUCCAAUACUAAAAUAUUACUUUAUCAAAAACCAGGCACCAAAAGAAUUGUACUGUAAUUAAAACUUUUAUUUUUACCAAAAAACAGGUGCCAAACCUAGUACACUGAAAUAAAAAAUUCUACAAAUUAAAAAAAGCUCUCUAUUUCAAAACAAAAAUCGCAUCUCUUCCCUGGUCUCUACUCAUCGGACUCUGCCCUAGUGCUGCCAAUCAUAGUAGAAGAGAGCCUUCUCAAGAAGGAUCGUGAAGGUGCGCUAGGGCAAGCUUCUUGAGCAAUCUUGAAACUUGCAAGCAGUGACCAAAUGUGUCAUUGACGGCUACCCAGAAUUCAAUUCUUCAACAAAAACUUACCCAUUUUCUUUCUUGCUGUCAUACUGUUCCAGAUCAUCCUCCUCAUACUUGGCCCAACAACAAUAGUUCCCUGCUAAUCUUCAAACUGCCACUAUUGAAAAGCUGUCCAGAAAUAAGAAGUAAAUGCGCCCAAUAUCAAGUUGGUCUCUGUUACCAUUCUCAAAAAAGAUCAGGAACCGAUGUUCGUUUACUUAGUUAUUUGUUAGUACUGCUGCAACUUCAAUAAUACACUAGCUAUGAUCUUACUUUGUGAACAAACUGGAGAAGAACAAAUUGUUCCUUCAAUGUAUUUCAGGCUACUAGCUGAGGAAUUUAGCUACAAUAUUAUGGAUGGGAUAUCGAUUGAUAGACCAAUUCGAUUUAUAGCAACAAGCCAUGAACUUUGAUGCUCUGUGUGCUAAGCUCUAGCUUCUACCUUGGUGAUUUUUUAUUUUGUCAGUUUCUCAGCUCCUUGCGGCUAAACACUCUCAGCUCCUUGUGGCAAAACACUCUCCUUCAUAUUCCAGGAUUUGGAGACUACCGUUUACAAGACAAUAUGUGCUAGGUUUGAAGACUUCAAACAAGCUGAUGAUUUGUUUAUCAUGUUACUAGGAUUAUUAGAUCAGAAAUUAUAUUCGGAUGUUUAUUUUCCCCCAAGAGGUGGGUAUACAGUUGUGUGACUUAUAUAUCAUGGUUAUACAGUGCCACUAGUCGGAUGUUAAUCCAUUAUUUGUAACUAAUUAAAGACUAUAUUUAUGACAGCAGGAUAUUAUUGCU
Lycium barbarum (goji berry) is the source of this 1139-nucleotide long non-coding RNA. RefSeq lists it as uncharacterized. NCBI's taxonomy places the organism in Eukaryota, Viridiplantae, Streptophyta, Magnoliopsida, Solanales, Solanaceae. The record is from RefSeq and is a predicted model, not a curated record. The transcript has 7 exons.